CCCUUAGAUGUUCUGGGCCGCACGCGCGCUACACUGACGAAUGCAACGAGCUUAUAACCUUGGCCGAAAGGUCUGGGUAAUCUCCAAAUUUCGUCGUGAUGGGGAUAGAUUAUUGCAAUUAUUAAUCUUCAACGAGGAAUGCCUAGUAAGCGCAAGUCAUCAGCUUGCGUUGAUUACGUCCCUGCCCUUUGUACACACCGCCCGUCGCUCCUACCGAUUGAAUGGUCCGGUGAAGCGUUCGGACCGUGGCCUUUGGACGGUUCGCCGUCUGUUGGCUGCGGGAAGUUCGUUAAACCUUAUCACUUAGAGGAAGUAAAAGUCGUAACA
RNAcentral lists this ribosomal RNA (327 nucleotides) under uncultured eukaryote. Its description in RNAcentral is "partial 18S ribosomal RNA". It matches the Rfam family "Eukaryotic small subunit ribosomal RNA", at positions 1470 to 1796 of the family's 1831-position model. The record is from RNAcentral.